Long non-coding RNA from Oreochromis niloticus (Nile tilapia), 1805 nucleotides. RefSeq lists it as uncharacterized. Lineage: Eukaryota; Metazoa; Chordata; Actinopteri; Cichliformes; Cichlidae. The record is from RefSeq and is a predicted model, not a curated record. The transcript is spliced from 2 exons.
GAUUUUAUUAUUCCUCGAUGUAGUUACAGUGCAUGCAUUUAAAUAUAAUCUGGCUCUAUAUGUUUGUAUUUCUAGACUACCUCCAAACUGACUCAUAAUUUGAAACUAAAAAAUCCUCCUUCCUUAGCAGCUAUACUACUGAUGUCUAAAAUCUGAUACCUCUGCUCUAACGAUUCUGUCACUUGGAGAGGGGACAGGAUACCCAACAAGCCACAUAUGACAGGCUUCAUUUGGCUGGAUUCAGUGUCACCUUCAGCUCUGCUGAAUUGUAAUUAAAUUGAAGUGCCAGUGUCUCCAUGGAUUACAUCAAAUCUGCAGAACAAGGCUGUGGCAGGUACCAAACGCUGCAUACGAUGGCCCAGCUGCUCAUCAUGCUGAGAAGAUACCACACCAGGCCACACUUACUGCUGUUCCAGAAAGCAUCACCGAAGCGAGGGUCAUACUGUAAGAUGACCAUGAACGGCCCCGUCAGCAGUGAGUAAGAGCAGUAUGAGGAGAUGGGAGGAAAUGGACUGAAACUCCUACCUUAAUGGCAACGGGAUAAAUAGUGCAGCCAAUUUCAAAGCUGCCCUUUUUGAACAUCAUCACGGAUGUGUUGUUAAUACAAGUACCUGGAAAUUACACAGUGUGAGGAUCUUAACAAUACUAACGAGGCUGUUUCGGCUGCUUUCUGCUUAAAUUACACCCAUUAUGAUACGCACCCUCAGGGAAGAUGAGGAUGGGUUGUUUGGUUUUAUCAGCCACAUGAUCACUAAGCCUGAAAUGAAAAACCAGAACAAACAGAUUAAAAUAUUUGUAAUAAAAUCUAACCACUUUAAAUUUAGUCUUACCUACUUGCAAUUAUACAAAUAACUGAAACUAAUCUAUUACACUGACUGCUGAAUACUUCACUUUUAAUCAUGUGAACCAAAUAUUAGUGAAACUCACAGUGGGAAUGAUGCAGUGGUAAAUGCCUGACACACAGUAUUAUAAACAGAAAAAAAGCUAAACAGAUGUAGAUGUGAAGCAUGUUGUUAAAAAGUUUGAGGAAAAGAGAAGAAAUGGCAAAUCUAAAAAGCUAUCCAAAGCAGAUGAACAGUAUCUGAAAUUCAUGUCCUUAAGACAUAGGGGGGAAAAAAAUCAGCAAAGAUCUGACAAAAGACAUGUGAGAUGCAUCUGGACCUCCAGCUGAUCCAUCUACUGUUCACUGAAGCCUCAUCAGAAAUGGUCUCAGCGGAAGGAUGGCUGUGAAGAAGCCAAUCUUCAGAAAGGGAAACAGGGAGAAAAGGCUGAGUGUGCCAAAAUACACAUGAACUGAAAUGAAAAUCAGUGGAGACAUGUCUUUUAUGGAGUGAUUAAUUCAAUUUUGUCGCUUGUAGUUAAAAUCUUUGCCACUAUGUAAAAAUAAGUUCAGAAGAGAGGGACAACAGUGAGCAACUACAGCCAUCUGUAAGCACGGUGGAGGCUCUGUCAUGUUUUGUGGCUGCAUUUAAGUCGGUGCUGUUGAUGAUCUUGUCAAAAUCAACAGAAUUAUGAAAGUAGGAAAGUAGCUUCAGAUUUAAAUAAACCAUGCAAUAAAAUCUGGAAAGUAUCUGACUUCAUUGUUUUGCAUGACAAUGAGCCCAAACACACUGCCAAUCCAGAACAGAUCCUGGUUAAAAACAAAAACACAAUGCAAUACUAGCAGUGAUGCACUGGCCUUCCCAGACCUCAACAUUAUUGAACCCAUGUGGUGCAACAAAACACAGCCAACAUCCAAAGAAGAGCUUUGAAUGUGCCUGGAAAACUGUUCGUGAAGACUAUUAAAUAAAUGAAAACAAAGCUGA